UACAGAGGUCUCAAGCGUUGUUCGGAUUCAUUGGGCGUAAAGGGUGCGUAGGUGGCGCCGUAAGUCGGGUGUGAAAUUUCGGAGCUUAACUCCGAAACUGCAUUCGAUACUGCGGUGCUUGAGGACUGGAGAGGAGACUGGAAUUCAUGGUGUAGCAGUGAAAUGCGUAGAUAUCGAGAGGAACACCUGCGGCGAAGGCGGGUUGCUGGGCCGAUACUGACGCUGAUACGCGAAAGCCAGGGGAGCGAACGGG
This 253-nucleotide ribosomal RNA is filed under the name uncultured prokaryote. Its description in RNAcentral is "partial 16S ribosomal RNA". It matches the Rfam family "Bacterial small subunit ribosomal RNA", at positions 524 to 776 of the family's 1533-position model. The record is from RNAcentral.